GUUAGGAAUAUUGGGCAAUGGGCGAAAGCCUGAUCCAGCCAUGCCGCGUGAACGAUGAAGGCCUUCGGGUUGUAAAGUUCUUUAGCCGAUGAUUAUAAUGACUGUAGUCGGAAAAUAAGCCCCGGCUAACUUCGUGCCAGCAGCCGCGGUAAUACGAAGGGGGCGAGCGUUAUUCGGAAUCACUGGGCGUAAAGCGUGCGUAGGCGGUUUUGUAAGUUAGGAGUGAAAGCCCAGGGCUCAACCUUGGAAUUGCUCUUAAAACUGCAAGGCUCGAAUCUCGGAGAGGAUAGCGGAAUUUCCAGUGUAGCAGUGAAAUGCGUAGAUAUUGGAAGGAACACCAGUGGCGUAAGCGGCUAUCUGGACGAGUAUUGACGCUGAGGCACGAAAGCGUGGGGAUCAAACAGGAUUAGAAACCCGUGUAGUCC
Molecule: ribosomal RNA, 425 nt
Filed under: uncultured bacterium
Lineage: Bacteria
Description: partial 16S ribosomal RNA
Rfam family: Bacterial small subunit ribosomal RNA
Source: RNAcentral